GGAAAGAACUCCAUUAAGGCACAGGUAAUUAACAAACCCCUUGAUUUUCAGGAUAGCUCAUAGUAGACAUGGCUGGCAGUAUGGUCCAGGCUGGAACCGCCAGUUCCAGUUCAGUCCAGUUUUGGUAAAAACAAUGGUUAUUUCUUUUUAAAUGAAAAAACCGGUUCGGCCUGGAACUGUACUGACCAAUCCAGUCCGGUUCAAGGCCAAUUUUGGUCUAUCCGGG
Molecule: unclassified non-coding RNA, 226 nt
Filed under: Hevea brasiliensis (rubber tree)
Lineage: Eukaryota; Viridiplantae; Streptophyta; Magnoliopsida; Malpighiales; Euphorbiaceae
Source: RNAcentral